Hirundo rustica (Barn swallow) is the source of this 5655-nucleotide long non-coding RNA. RefSeq lists it as uncharacterized. NCBI's taxonomy places the organism in Eukaryota, Metazoa, Chordata, Aves, Passeriformes, Hirundinidae. The record is from RefSeq and is a predicted model, not a curated record. The transcript has 5 exons.
GGGCUCUCACCACACCCUCCAUGCUGCCUUCACACUCCGGUGCCUUCAGCUCUUGCUCCUUCUCGCUGCAGCUGUGCUGUGGCACUGGGCAGAUGCCAGGCCUGGGCACUGGGUCUGCACCCCCCACGCAGUUUGGGGGAGCCCCUUGCCCUCAGAGGAGCAGGAUGGGGGUGAGGAUGUGUCCCCAGCACGCCUGGAUUUAGGAUGCUCUGGAAGAGGAACUGAGCUGUGAUUUGGAGGCAGCAGGCUCACCACCUUCUCCAGGGCUUGUCAGACAGAGGAACCAGCUUUUAACAGCAGGGUUUGUCCCCGUGGCAAAGUGGGGCUGUGCCUUCCGCGGAGCAAGGCUGGCUGUCCUCAAGCACCGUGCCCUGCCCUCCUGCUCUUCGUGACCUUCUUUCUGUGAAGGCACAAGGCAGCGGAGAAGAUGUUGCCAGAAAUAAUCCCUUUGCGUGGGUACUUAGACUUGUCCUGGUGGGAAGGGGAUCUCCUGGCCCGGGCGGGAGGUGAUGGUUAGCGGCGGUGCGACAGGAGCGGCUGCAAGGUGGACAUCUGUCUCCUCACAACUACAGUGAGACCAAUGCCUUAUUCCUGUGCGAGAAUUCAUCAGCUGGAAACGACUUUCUGUCUCUAUUGACCCUGGGCUGGAGCUGAGCCAGGGACGUGGAGGGAAAAGGGUCAAUUUACCCAUGAAAAAUGCUCCUGAGGUACCUUGAGCCUCUCUGUGCUUCAAACACUGGUGGGACCGUGGACGUGGUGUGCGUGGGGAGGUGCUGGUAGGACUGGAGCACCUAGUAAGGGUGCAGGGAGCCCUGCUGAAACUUCAGGUGAUGCCCAUGAGCUGAGAUGUGGGAGAACUGCGCUCUCUCUCUCUCUCUCUCUCUCUCUCUCUCUCUCUCUCAUUUUUGGUGGCAUACCAAAAAUGUCAGGGAGAGUGGCAGCUCGGCUUGCCUCCUGCCAGGAUCCUGCAGCCCACCAGCAGCUUCACCGUGGCCCUGGAAAGCUGUCAUCCACUGAUAUGGCACAAGUAGAGCUGUUUCACUGAAAAAUAACCAGACAAAACACCCUCUGUUGUGCUUCCACUCGAUGUGCUCUUGGUGAAUCCACGGCUGUGUGCACCAGGGUGUGCCUGGGUCAUGCUGCAGAUGGAGAGAGGGGAGGAGGAAUGACAGAAAUGGGACAAGAGCCAGCAAAGACUGACUAGCUGGAGAAGGAAUUGGGGUAAAAAUGUUUAAGCUUGUUAGGAGGGCCAGCUACAUCCCAGAAGACUUUGCUGCAAAAGCCAAGGCUGCCAGGAUGUGUGUGGAGAAAGGAUCAAGAAAUCUUCAUCUGGAUGCAGAUGAUCCCCAGACAACCCAGACCCUGGGGGAAUUAACCACAAGAGGAAGAACUUGAAUUGGAGGAGGAAAGGAUGAGCCAGCUGUAAAGAAAGGAGGAGAGAGUGUGGAGGCUCUGAGGAUGGAUUUUUGGAGUAGCUUUGGGCUCUAUUUGUUGGAAACCGCUCCUUUGUCAAACAGAGAGCGUGUGGGGAAGGCCAGGCUGGAUAAAUCUCCCCAGUUUGAAAGCAGGCAUCUAGAAACGCUCCAGGAUGUCCAUUCCUGUGAUUUGUAAGCGUCCAAAACAGUGAAGAGUUGGUUCAAAGGACUUUUUGCCUAGGAAAUGUGAGUUUGCAGUGCAACACGUAAAGACAAAAAAAUGAAGCAAACCCUGAUGACUGAAUCCAGUCAGGAUUUCUGGUGGGGUGGGUUUGGCUCCCAUCCUUUCCUUGCAGCUCUUCUGGCCACCUCUGUCUUUGCAGUGAGGACAACAGCUUUUUGGGGUGACAAAGCUCUUUCCUAUCAUUCCUAGCAAGAAAGUGUCUGAAAUUCAGAGCGCCAAAAGGGGAUUCAGGAAACUGGAAAUUCAGUCCCAUUGAAAACUCAGUCUUGCCCAAAUUCUGGUUUUGGGAUUGCUGUCACUGGCUCCCAGCCCUGAUUUUCCAGCAAGGCUCCAGCCCUGGAAUGUAGGGGACAUCCUCAGCCUGGCACAGGCAUCACCCCCAGAGCUCUGGGACAUCAGGUGGAAUGUUCCAGAAUUACCUGGCACUGGUGCAGUUCAGUUUGGGAAGUGCUCCCACAAGAUGCUUAGCUGGAGACCAUGGCUGGGAGCUGGGGCCUUGGUCUGAUCCAACAGCGAUAAUCCAAGUGGAGCUGUGGGAAUGCGUUUGACAAAAGGUGUGUGUGGUCAGCAGGUGAGAUUUGGGGUGUGAGGCUCCCUGGGUGGGAUUUGGGGGUGCAGUGGGGUGUGAGGCUCCCUGCAGGUGAACCUGGCUGGUGUUGGAGGCUCCUGGCAGGGCUGGGUGCCAGCAGAUGCCACUCCAGAAUGUUCCACUCAGCUCCCUGCUCUGCUCCCAGAGGGCUUCCCUGAGCUGGGGCUGGCUGACCUCCAGCCCUGCCCUCCAUCCCCUCCUGUGCCCCACAUCUCCUGCUCUUCAUCCAGCUGCUUUCCAGCCUCUGCUUUGUUUUCCUGGCGUGCUGGGUGUGAAGUGUGAGGCCAGAGUGGGCUGCCCAGCGACUCCAGCCCCAGGUUUUGGGGCUCAGACUGGGGAGGAGAGCUGGGAGCAGAAUCCUGCAGAGGCUGUUUGUUUUCUGUCCCUUGCGUGGUAGGCUCUCACCUCUGCCUCAAAUUACAAGUCAUGUCACAUCUUGGGAGUCUUGAAAUUGUGUUUCUCAGCAAUGUUCCCAAAGAGAUUAGAAGCACUGAGAUGGCUGAAAUACCCUCUGAGCCCGGAGCAGAACAAGCCACUGAAAAAGGAAUGGGGUGGGGAAAGAGCCGCAGCAUCCUCACCAGGGUGGAGGGGAGGGCUGGGGGCGGCUCAGGGCCGGUCCCUCCCCAAAUCCCUCCCGGCUGGGCUGUGCUGGUUCAUCCUGCUGCUCGUGGGAUGUGGGAAGAGCAGGGGCAGCCACCUUCCCUCUGGCCCAGGGUGGAGAGGUCCAACCAACAUUCCAAAUAGCUCACGGCAUCUUUUAACCCAUGGAGCACGAGGUGCUGCUUCCCAAAUUUACAGGUGGAAAGUGGGGAGCUGUGAUUUGUGGGAAUGAAGAAGGGCCAAGCAGCAGAUGCCCCUGAGCGUGGAAGGGGUUGGUUUCCAGGGCUGAGAGGAGAAGGCAGAGAUCCAACCCUUCCUGAUGUGAGGCAGAAGCUGCCUGUCUUUCUGAAGCUUGCACAGUUGUGCAGCUCCGACACUUCACGUCCUGGUUUUGCUGCUGGAGCCCCCGCACAGCAGAGAGCUGUGUUGGCUGUGGGUCUGUGUCCUGGUCCCCACUGUCCCCCUCCUUCCCUCCCAUCCUUAUUCCCAUUCCUGGGACCGUGCAGAGCUGCCUGAGAUGUCACCACAGCGAAUUGGUCCCGAGGUGCUGCUUGGAGGGCCUGGCUGCCAGAGUGAUUUGUGAUCAGCCGGCAGAGCCGACACAUCAGGCAGCAAAGAGGGACCUCCUGGAAUGGGAGACAUCCAGCCAGGCAGGGAUGGAGCCGGCCACACAUAUUGGAGGGGCUGUUAAAGAUGCAAACUCGUUAUCUCCCAGGCAAUCCAGAGCCCCUCACAAGGAUAUCAGUGCUGGAGCACACACAGGGAUGAUGGAUGCAUCCAUAGGAGCGGGUCUUGUCUUAUGGAGUGCAUGGAAAGAUGAGCUGGUGACAGACGUGUCUGCAAAUGUGGCCAUCACCCCAAAUACGGCUUGGGAAGAGCUGCAGGGUGUGAGGAAUGGGAAUGGCUGGAAGGGGCGUCAACAGAGUGGGACAAACCAGGGUUGACUGCACAGAGAGGCCUCGGGUGUUGAAAAGCCAGGUGCAGGAGGAGCUGGGAUUGAAGGAGGAGCUGGAGUGGUUGGGUUUAUUUGGUGAUCUGCCUCCCCCUGGGAUUCAAUGCUCCAGGCUUCACUGGAUAAUUAUGCUGCUCUGCUCCUCGUGACCUGUGAGACUCAGCUACGGCCUUGCCUCUGAGGUCAGCAAAGCUAAUUGAGCUGAAUGUCCAGGGACGGCAUCUACGUGGCUCUUUUCAGAGUGGGCUUUUUCCACACCUCUGGAAAAAUGCCAGUUGAAAGGGAAUUGCCCUCUCCUCUGAGCCUGGUGGGACCUGCUGCUCCUGUCCUGGCUGAUCUGUGCCUGGGGGAAGGUGGUUCUUCAGCACAGCUGGAGGGAGAGCUGUUGGGGUCUGAAAAUUUUCCUGCCCCGGUGAGAGACCCCUCCAAACCUAUUUUUAUCUGGCUGUGCAGCUUUGUCUCGGCAAUAACAACGUGCUCACUGUGCAGAGUGAAAUUAAUACAGAGCCACAUUUACCUUGGGAAUAUUUGAGCAAGUUUUUGAAUGAAUAUUCAUUGGAAUUUUCAUGCUCUUAUGUCUUGCUUGGCCCAUCAUGGCUGUAACUGGGCAGCCGGGUCAGCGCUUUCCGGGGCACCGCUUGCCGUGUCAGAAAUGCUGGAAACGUCCCAAAAGACAGCAUCCCCCUCUGAUUUUCUCUGCAGCCUUUGAAGUUGUGGGUAUGAUGUGAAACCUGAUGCUGACACCUGUACUGUGAGGAAAGAGGAGCUGUGCCCGGGUGCAGCUCCUGUCUCCCGUCCCUGUGGUGCUGCUUGGCUGGAGGAGAGGGAGCUUGCAGCCCUGAGAGGGAGCGUGUCCAACACCCAGGAGCCAGGUCACAGCUGCAGGAUAUGCUUGGACUCUGCAAUUGUAAUAAAAGUAUGUAAGCUGACCUGUGGCCAGCUCCACAGAGAGCUCUCAGUGCUGCAGCUAAAUGAGCUGGUGGCAGAUUUGGGCAAAACUAAAAUUAAACCAGGUCAGGUACAGGCAGUAUUGUGGAGCCAGAGUUUCAAAGCACGCUCGCUCUGAGAGAGGGAGAGCAGGAAAAAAACCUUCCUGCGUAUGCAGAGGACAUUUCCAGAGCUCUAAUCCUUUGAUUAUAACAGAUCUUAGGAGAAACUGUGCUACUCCUUGAAGAUGGGAAGGGAAAAAACCCAUAACUAUUCUGAACUGAUGGAAGUGGAGCUGCUAAUCAGAGGAGAAUAAUGAUCUAUUUAUUGGAUGUGAGACAUUUAAUAAUGAAAUACCAACUGUCUCCCCUAAUUCCUGUGACUAAUGGAGAAGGACAUGGUAAAAAGUGCCGGAAGACAGGCUGAGGUGGGGCAGUGGAUGUUUAGACAAGGACAAAGAGAAAACGUGAACCAGAGGCUGCCAGGAGCUUCAGGAGGGAAUGGGGGUUUCCAGGCUGUAUUUCAGGAGAAGGGAAUAAAAUACACCUAUGGAUAGAGCCAUUAACCAGCCAGGGGAGCUGGGGCUGUUGGAGAGGAGCUCAGGGUGCCAGUGCAGUGAUCCUCUCCUGGACUCUGGGAGGGGAGAAUGGCACAUGGGAAUGGCUUGGAUGGCUCGGGGGGGCCGUGCUUGGCACAGCCACCGGACGGAUGAGGCGUGACAGGUGGAUCCUGCUCCAUUCCUGGAGCUGCACGGGCCUCCCCCAGUGCAGUAGCACAGCCUGUAGCUAGGUGCCACUCAGCACCAAGGCGUCAUCAUGUUUUAUGGACUAAGAGAACAUUCCCUAAUGCGCCUUGGAACAUUAUCGUAAAUAAUUAAAUCUGAACUGCAGUUGUCACAGUAAAUGAACAAAAGAUUGUUCCGCUCCCC